This 535-nucleotide transfer RNA is filed under the name uncultured cyanobacterium. Its description in RNAcentral is "partial 16S-23S intergenic spacer". The stretch from base 202 to 274 matches the Rfam family "tRNA". Lineage: Bacteria; Bacillati; Cyanobacteriota. The record is from RNAcentral.
AGACAACAAAAUGUUUAAUAUUAUUUUGUCACCUUAGGUCGAUCGGUAUCUCACAUUCUUAAUUUAUUAAGGAUUUCAUUUCCUAAGUUUUUCUAGGUCACACCCAUUUUUUCCUGGGCCAUUAGCUCAGGUGGUUAGAGCGCACCCCUGAUAAGGGUGAGGUCCCUGGUUCAAGUCCAGGAUGGCCCAUAUCUCUAUGUUGGGGGUAUAGCUCAGUUGGUAGAGCGCCUGCUUUGCAAGCAGGAUGUCAGCGGUUCGAGUCCGCUUACCUCCACUGAUUACCACCUCUUCCAUAAAUCUGUGAGAAAGGAAAAUUUUUUGUGUUGUGACCAUAUUCUGAACGAAUCUAGCUUCCUAAUGAAAUCAUUAAGAUGCUGGACUCAUUGAAUUAUUUUCAUUGUUUUCAGAGAACCUUGACAACUGCAUAGAUUAUUUUUUAAAGACAAUAAGCAUCUUUUAAUGAUGCAGAUUUAUUAUUUGUGCGAGUGCAUUAAUAACAAUUCUAUUAAGUUGAUGCUUCAAUUUUGAAGAUAUU